GAUUUAAACAGGGACAGUGGCACUGGAGGGGAGUGAGAAUGAGAAAACUAGGAGAGAUCUAUGACAGCACUCUGUAUUUUGCAAAAGGAAUCUUUGAUGCAUUAUCGGGGCCCUCUUUAUAUUGGUUUGAACUGAGCAAGAACGAUGCAAACAAAACGUGGAUGUGGGCAGAUGGAGCUACGUUCAGCAAUGGGUUCAGUACUGAAGAAAGUGGUGAUUGUGCCUUCAUACAUAAGACAGGCAUAAGUAGUGCCAAUUGUAAUAAUACAAAAAAAAAAAAAAUAUGUUUGCAGCAGAAAAAGCUACUGUUCUUAGAUAAAGAGUUCUCCCAUACAGGAAAUAAAAUAAUUAACAAAAACC
RNAcentral lists this long non-coding RNA (360 nucleotides) under Piliocolobus tephrosceles (Ugandan red Colobus). RNAcentral's name for it is "lncRNA (ENSPTEG00000008325.1)". The record is from RNAcentral. Lineage: Eukaryota; Metazoa; Chordata; Mammalia; Primates; Cercopithecidae.